Non-coding RNA from Cronartium quercuum f. sp. fusiforme G11, 89 nucleotides. Lineage: Eukaryota; Fungi; Basidiomycota; Pucciniomycetes; Pucciniales; Coleosporiaceae. The record is from the annotation of a GenBank genome assembly.
GACUGGAUAGCCUAGUGAUAAAGGCAUCACAUCAACAUUAUGUGUUAGCUUACAUGCUGAGGUCCCUGGUUCAGAUCCAGUUCUAGUCA